AGGGUUUGAUUAUGGCUCAGGAUGAACGCUGGCGGCGUGCCUAACACAUGCAAGUCGAGCGAUCUUCUUCGGAAGAGAGCGGCGGACGGGUGAGUAACGCGUGGGUAACCUGCCUCAUACACAUGGAUAACAUACCGAAAGGUAUGCUAAUACAAGAUGAUAUAAGAGAUUCGCAUGGAUUUCUUAUCAAAGCUCCGGCGGUAUGAGAUGGACCCGCGUCUGAUUAGCUAGUUGGUAAGGUAAUGGCUUACCAAGGCGACGAUCAGUAGCCGACCUGAGAGGGUGAUCGGCCACAUUGGAACUGAGACACGGUCCAA
This 317-nucleotide ribosomal RNA is filed under the name uncultured bacterium. RNAcentral's name for it is "bacterial SSU rRNA". It matches the Rfam family "Bacterial small subunit ribosomal RNA", at positions 8 to 334 of the family's 1533-position model. The record is from RNAcentral.